This 25-nucleotide ribosomal RNA is filed under the name Caudalejeunea reniloba. Its description in RNAcentral is "partial 5.8S ribosomal RNA". Lineage: Eukaryota; Viridiplantae; Streptophyta; Jungermanniopsida; Porellales; Lejeuneaceae. The record is from RNAcentral.
AAAACGACUCUUCAGCAACGGAUAU